RNAcentral lists this ribosomal RNA (1455 nucleotides) under uncultured Mollicutes bacterium. RNAcentral describes it as "bacterial SSU rRNA". It matches the Rfam family "Bacterial small subunit ribosomal RNA". The record is from RNAcentral. Lineage: Bacteria; Bacillati; Mycoplasmatota; Mollicutes.
AGAGUUUGAUCCUGGCUCAGGAUGAACGUUAGUAGUAUGCCUAACACAUGCAAGUCGAACGGAAUUGUAGCAAUACAAUUCAGUGGCGAACGGGUGAGUAAUGCUUAUCUUACCUACCGUUUAGUGGGGGAUAAAAUACCGCAUGUUCUGGUUUCGACCAGCAAAGGACUUCGGUCCGCUAAAUGAUGGGGAUAAGUCGCAUCAGCCGAUGAACAGUAGGGUAAUGGCCUACUGAGGCCAUGACGCGUAGCCGGCCUGAGAGGGUGAUCGGCCACAAGGGAACUGAGACAAGGUUCCUACUCCUAUAUGGGGGGCAGCAGUGAGGAAUAUACCGCAAUGGGCGAAAGCCUGACGGAGCGAUACUACGUGAAGGAUGAAGGUCUACGGAUUGUAAACUUCUUUACUCAGAUGUACUCCUUAAAGCUUGCAUCAGGGCAAAAAGUCACGACUAACUAUGUGCCAGCAGUCGCGGUAAGACAUAGGUGGCAAACGUUAUCCGGAUUUAUUGGGCGUAAAGGGUGCGUAGAUGGUAGAAUAAGUUAUUAGCCGAAGGCAGGCUCAACUUGGCGGAAGUUAAUAAUACUGUUUUACUAGAGAAUGGAAGAGGUUAAUGGAAUUCUAUGUGUAGAGGUGAAAUUCGUUGAUCCAUAGAGGAACACCAAAAAGGCGAAGGCAAUUAACUAUUCCAUUUCUGACAUUGAGGCACGAAAGCGUGGGGAGCAAAACGGAUUAGAUACCCGUGUAGUCCACGCCCUAAACGAUGAGUAUUAGGCAUUGGGUGUUAAUUCAGUGUCGCAGCUAACGCUUUAAAUACUCCGCCUGGGUAGUACGGUCGCAAGGCUGAAACUCAAAGGAAUUGACGGGGACCCGCACAAGCGGUGGAGCAUGUGGUUUAAUUCGAUACAACGCGCAGAACCUUACCAAGGCUUGACAUGGAGGGCAAUGUUGAAGAAACUCAACGGAGGUUAUCCCGACACAGGUGGUGCAUGGUCGUCGUCAGUUCGUGCCGUGAGGCGUAUGGUUAAGUCCUAUAACGAACGCAGCCCUCGUAUUUAGUUGCUACCAUUUAGUUGAGAACUCUAAAUAGACUGCCAAGGUAACCUGGAGGAAGGAGAGGAUGACGUCUGAUCCUCAUGCCCCUUAUGCCUUGGGCUACACACGUGCUACAAUGGUUAGGACAAAGAGUCGCUAGCCUGCGAAGGGAAGCUAAUCUCAAAAAACUAACCUUAGUUCGGAUUGAAGUCUGCAACUCGACUUCAUGAAGUAGGAAUCGCUAGUAAUCGUGAAUCAGCAACGUCACGGUGAAUACGUUCUCGGGUCUUGUACACACCGCCCGUCAAAUCACGAAAGUCGGUAGUGCCUAAAAGCAGUUCCCGUAAGGGAAACUUCCGCAAGGAAGAGAAGACUGUCUAAGGUAAGAUUGGCGAUUGGGGUUAAGUCGUAACAAGGUAACCG